UACGAAGGGGGCUAGCGUUGCUCGGAAUUACUGGGCGUAAAGCGCACGUAGGCGGCUCUUUAAGUCGGAGGUGAAAUCCUGGAGCUCAACUCCAGAACUGCCUUCGAUACUGGAAGCUCGAGUCCGGGAGAGGUGAGUGGAACUGCGAGUGUAGAGGUGAAAUUCGUAGAUAUUCGCAAGAACACCAGUGGCGAAGGCGGCUCACUGGCCCGGUACUGACGCUGAGGUGCGAAAGCGUGGGGAGCAAACAGG
Molecule: ribosomal RNA, 252 nt
Filed under: uncultured bacterium
Lineage: Bacteria
Description: partial 16S ribosomal RNA
Rfam family: Bacterial small subunit ribosomal RNA
Source: RNAcentral